GACGAACGCUGGCGGCGUGCUUAACACAUGCAAGUCGAACGGAAAGGCCCUGCUUUUGUGGGGUGCUCGAGUGGCGAACGGGUGAGUAACACGUGAGUAACCUGCCCUUGACUUUGGGAUAACUUCAGGAAACUGGGGCUAAUACCGGAUAGGAGCUCCUGCUGCAUGGUGGGGGUUGGAAAGUUUCGGCGGUUGGGGAUGGACUCGCGGCUUAUCAGCUUGUUGGUGGGGUAGUGGCUUACCAAGGCUUUGACGGGUAGCCGGCCUGAGAGGGUGACCGGCCACAUUGGGACUGAGAUACGGCCCAGACUCCUACGGGAGGCAGCAGUGGGGAAUAUUGCACAAUGGGCGGAAGCCUGAUGCAGCGACGCCGCGUGCGGGAUGACGGCCUUCGGGUUGUAAACCGCUUUCGCCUGUGACGAAGCGUGAGUGACGGUAAUGGGUAAAGAAGCACCGGCUAACUACGUGCCAGCAGCCGCGGUGAUACGUAGGGUGCGAGCGUUGUCCGGAUUUAUUGGGCGUAAAGGGCUCGUAGGUGGUUGAUCGCGUCGGAAGUGUAAUCUUGGGGCUUAACCCUGAGCGUGCUUUCGAUACGGGUUGACUUGAGGAAGGUAGGGGAGAAUGGAAUUCCUGGUGGAGCGGUGGAAUGCGCAGAUAUCAGGAGGAACACCAGUGGCGAAGGCGGUUCUCUGGGCCUUUCCUGACGCUGAGGAGCGAAAGCGUGGGGAGCGAACAGGCUUAGAUACCCUGGUAGUCCACGCUGUAAACGGUGGGUACUAGGUGUGGGGUCCAUUCCACGGGUUCCGUGCCGUAGCUAACGCUUUAAGUACCCCGCCUGGGGAGUACGGCCGCAAGGCUAAAACUCAAAGGAAUUGACGGGGCCCCGCACAAGCGGCGGAGCAUGCGGAUUAAUUCGAUGCAACGCGUAGAACCUUACCUGGGUUUGACAUGGAUCGGGAGCGCUCAGAGAUGGGUGUGCCUCUUUUGGGGUCGGUUCACAGGUGGUGCAUGGCUGUCGUCAGCUCGUGUCGUGAGAUGUUGGGUUAAGUCCCGCAACGAGCGCAACCCUUGUUCACUGUUGCCAGCACGUUAUGGUGGGGACUCAGUGGAGACCGCCGGGGUCAACUCGGAGGAAGGUGGGGAUGACGUCAAGUCAUCAUGCCCCUUAUGUCCAGGGCUUCACGCAUGCUACAAUGGCUGGUACAGAGAGUGGCGAGCCUGUGAGGGUGAGCGAAUCUCGGAAAGCCGGUCUCAGUUCGGAUUGGGGUCUGCAACUCGGCCUCAUGAAGUCGGAGUCGCUAGUAAUCGCAGAUCAGCAACGCUGCGGUGAAUACGUUCCCGGGGCU
RNAcentral lists this ribosomal RNA (1346 nucleotides) under uncultured bacterium. Its description in RNAcentral is "bacterial SSU rRNA". It matches the Rfam family "Bacterial small subunit ribosomal RNA", at positions 28 to 1381 of the family's 1533-position model. The record is from RNAcentral.